UUUCCGUAGGUGAACCUGCGGAGGGAUCAUUACUGAGCGAGGGUCUAACCGCCCGACCUCCAACCCUUUGUGAAUCGUACUCGUUGCUUCGGGGGCGACCCUGCCGUCCGCGGCUGAGCGCCCCCGGGGUCAAUCAAACACUGCAUUCUCUGCGUCGGAGUUUAAGUAAAUUUAAACAAAACUUUCAACAACGGAUCUCUUGGUUCUGGCAUCGAUGAAGAACGCAGC
RNAcentral lists this unclassified non-coding RNA (228 nucleotides) under uncultured fungus. RNAcentral describes it as "sequence contains ITS1, 5.8S rRNA gene". The stretch from base 180 to 228 matches the Rfam family "5.8S ribosomal RNA", at positions 1 to 49 of the family's 154-position model. Lineage: Eukaryota; Fungi. The record is from RNAcentral.